RNAcentral lists this ribosomal RNA (484 nucleotides) under uncultured bacterium. RNAcentral describes it as "partial 16S ribosomal RNA". It matches the Rfam family "Bacterial small subunit ribosomal RNA", at positions 30 to 507 of the family's 1533-position model. The record is from RNAcentral.
AUUGAACGCUGGCGGCAGGCCUAACACAUGCAAGUCGAGCGGAUGAAGGGAGCUUGCUCCUGGAUUCAGCGGCGGACGGGUGAGUAAUGCCUAGGAAUCUGCCUGGUAGUUGGGGAUAACGUCCGGAAACGGGCGCUAAUACCGCAUACGUCCUGAGGGAGAAAGUGGGGGAUCUUCGGACCUCACGCUAUCAGAUGAGCCUAGGCCGGAUUAGCUAGUUGGUGGGGUAAAGGCCUACCAAGGCGACGAUCCAUAACUGGUCUGAGAGGAUGAUCAGCCACACUGGAACUGAGACACGGUCCAGACUCCUACGGGAGGCAGCAGUGGGGAAUCUUGGACAAUGGGCGAAAGCCUGAUGCAGCCACGCCGCGUGUGUGAAGAAGGUCUUCGGAUUGUAAAGCACUUUAAGUUGGGAGGAAGGGCAGUAAGUUAAUCCGUGGCUGUCUUGACGUUACCAACAGAAUAAGCACCGGCUAACUUCGUG